Rhinopithecus bieti (black snub-nosed monkey) is the source of this 107-nucleotide small nuclear RNA. The record is from Ensembl. NCBI's taxonomy places the organism in Eukaryota, Metazoa, Chordata, Mammalia, Primates, Cercopithecidae.
GUGCUCACCUCCGCAGCACGUAUUCUAAAACUGGAACAAUACAGAGAAGAUUUGCAUGGCCCCUGCGCCAGGAUGACAUGCAGAUUCGUGAAGCAUUCCAUAUUUUU